AACAAGACCCCAAAGUAAGUCGAGUAUAAAUGAAUAAAUAAAUAAAUAAGUUUUUUUGUUUUCGACGAACUUAAUUUUUUUUUAAAAAUAGAAUCAAAAUAAAAUCGAAUCGACAAGUGUUUUUUUUUAAAUAAGUUGAAUUAAAUAGGGGAUACAAAAAUGGUUAAGUUAAAUAAAGUAGUUACUAAAAAGAAAAAAAA
This 200-nucleotide long non-coding RNA is filed under the name Lathyrus oleraceus (garden pea). RNAcentral's name for it is "Pisum sativum (pea) long non-coding RNA (PSAT_LNC041719)". Lineage: Eukaryota; Viridiplantae; Streptophyta; Magnoliopsida; Fabales; Fabaceae. The record is from RNAcentral.